GUUGGGUUAUGUAGUUAUUAAAAUAAUUGCUCCGUUUUACUUAAAAAAUGUAGACACUGGUAAUUGCUAAAAGUAAUACAGGUUCAGAAAAGGCACUUAGAAAUUAUUAUAAUAUUUGGUGAAGGCCCCAGGAAAGCUCUAGGCAGUUCCAGUCAAUUGUCAUUCAAAAAUGACGGUCUCUUGUAACGUCAAAAUGACAAUUCAAAAUGGCGACAGUGCGACGCCUUCUUGGAAAAAGAUUAUUUUUUUCUUACGAAUUGUAGUCACUUACGGUUUGUAGUAUGAAGUAUUGAUUUUUCCAAGCAAUUUUGAAAAUGUGAUUUAACGUAAUUCUAGUAGUCUUAACUGAUCAUGUUUAGUAGUGUAAGCGUGUAAAUAAAUCCGUUGGCUG
Long non-coding RNA from Anthonomus grandis grandis, 391 nucleotides. RefSeq lists it as uncharacterized. The record is from RefSeq and is a predicted model, not a curated record. The transcript has 3 exons. Lineage: Eukaryota; Metazoa; Arthropoda; Insecta; Coleoptera; Curculionidae.